AAUAAAUAAAUAUACCGACCGUCCCUAGAGUAAGUGGCAAAGGACUUGGUGGUUGGUACCCGAGACCCAAGUUCGAAUCCUAGUUGAUUCACAUUUCCAGCUAAAUUUAUUUCUAAAUGAAAUAAACGAAUCGGGUAGCAUGCUAUCUAUCUCUCAAAAAAAAUAAAAAUAAAUAAAUAAUUAUUAUAUAAUAUUUAUUUAUUUAUUUAUGGUGAAAAUUGCAAGAUAAGAGUAUGUGAUAGCAUAUAU
Molecule: long non-coding RNA, 249 nt
Filed under: Ananas comosus (pineapple)
Lineage: Eukaryota; Viridiplantae; Streptophyta; Magnoliopsida; Poales; Bromeliaceae
Description: long non-coding RNA (ACOM_LNC033789)
Source: RNAcentral